CAUGUAGGCGGGCUUUUAAGUCUGACGUGAAAAUGCGGGGCUUAACCCCGUAUGGCGUUGGAUACUGGAAGUCUUGAGCGCAGGAGAGGAAAGGGGAAUUCCCAGUGUAGCGGUGAAAUGCGUAGAUAUUGGGAGGAACACCAGUGGCGAAGGCGCCUUUCUGGACUGUGUCUGACGCUGAGAUGCGAAAAGCAGGGUAGCAAAC
RNAcentral lists this ribosomal RNA (205 nucleotides) under uncultured bacterium. RNAcentral describes it as "partial 16S ribosomal RNA". It matches the Rfam family "Bacterial small subunit ribosomal RNA", at positions 568 to 773 of the family's 1533-position model. The record is from RNAcentral.